This 358-nucleotide ribosomal RNA is filed under the name uncultured eukaryote. RNAcentral describes it as "LSU rRNA". It matches the Rfam family "Bacterial large subunit ribosomal RNA", at positions 2121 to 2478 of the family's 2925-position model. The record is from RNAcentral.
GUUCGGGCUCUUCUUGCGCAGCUUAGGUGGAAGGCGUUGAAAGAGAGCUUCCGGGUUCUCUGGAGCCACCAGUGAGAUACCACUCUGGAAGAGCUAGAAUUCUAAUCUCGACCCCUUAGCGGGGCGUGUGACAGUUUCAGGUGGGCAGUUUGACUGGGGCGGUCGCCUCCUAAAAGGUAACGGAGGCGUGCAAAGGUUCCCUCCGGCUGGACGGAAAUCAGCUGUAGAGUGUAAAGGCAGAAGGGAGCUUGACUGCGAGACCUACAAGUCGAGCAGGGACGAAAGUCGGCCUUAGUGAUCCGACGGUGCCGUGUGGAAGGGCCGUCGCUCAACGGAUAAAAGUUACUCUAGGGAUAAC